Molecule: long non-coding RNA, 14741 nt
Filed under: Coffea arabica (coffee)
Lineage: Eukaryota; Viridiplantae; Streptophyta; Magnoliopsida; Gentianales; Rubiaceae
Description: long non-coding RNA (CARA_LNC003968)
Source: RNAcentral
AGUUGGAAUUUAGCUCCAGUAAGCAUGUCCAAAGUGACACUUGUAAUAUGACCUGCCGUGGAAAGACCUCCAAGAACAGAUAAUACUGCACACUACCAAAAUGAAACUGAAACUGAGUUCUUCACAUUUAUUAGCCAAAUAGAUAUAAAAAAAAAUUAACAUCAACCAUGUGUCUCCUCCCAAAAGAGAGGACAGAAGAAAGAAAUUUCAUUGCACAAAACAAAGUGAAGUGUCUACCUCAUAUCUAGAUGCAACUUCAUAAAAACGCAAACGAUUAAGUAUGUAAGUAGCAAGAGAAGCAACAUCAUGGCGCUGGUUCUGCAACAAAAACUUCAGUAACUGAUUGUAGCCUUCACUGGUGCCAGGAGGGACACUUUCGUCUUCCCGAGGCCACCAGCCAAGGAAUCCUUCACAGCCAAUUGAGUGCCGAGUAGCUUGCUCAACAACAGCAAGUGACAACAACUUAAGAGUAAGAGAGUUUUGAAUGACAUGAUUGAGAACACGACCAAGCUUCUCCAUACCACCACUACUAACAAAGUGAAAGCAGCUCUCUCGACCAGAGCACAGCAAAAGAGCUACACUAAGCCACAGUACGGCACUCUUAUGCUGAAACUCAAAUUAAAACAAAAGGAAAUAGAAAAGAUGUCAAUAAUGUGUGAUGAUUCAUCAUCAUCAUUGACGUAUUUUCACUAAAAUUUCAUGAAAGAAGCUAAAGAAGAAGGAAAAGUGACUCUAAUCACCUUCGAACGCACAGGAUUUGCAGCAAUUUCAUGGUUACUACCAAACUUAAAGUAUAAGCUCAACAAGUCCACCAGUUGUUUGGAAGUAGGCAUAUCAGCCUCAGAUUCAAAAGACAUAUUCUCGGUUGAAGAUUCAGCAGGGAAAUACCCUCCUUGCUUAAAGCUUUUAUAGACAUCCAUAAGUUCCUUUCUAGCUUCAUUAAGGACAUCAUCAAAUCCUCCAUUAUCUCUGAAUUUAUCCAUCCCAACAUGUUUCUGAUUGAUAAUAGUAGAAUACAAGUUAGGAGUUGCAUGUACUAGGGCUGCCGAUAGCAUUGAACUAAUAACGGUAUCUGUAGCAGCUCCAAGAUUCUGAGACUCCAAAAGCUUAAACAUCAGUUGUAAAAACUGCUUGUGUUCGACAGGAAUAUCAACUCUUGCAACUUUGAAAGAUAACUUAUUCAAGGUAGAUAGAGAUUCCUCAAUUGUCAAAUUGGUUGGGCAGAGUGCAGGGGGAAGGUCUUCAAGGUCUCCCUCAAUUGCACUAACAGUAUGUGUCAAAGAGCUAUCUAGAUCAACUUCUAUGUUAAACUGACCUAAAUCUUCUGCUGUAUUCCCAUAUAUGACCAAGCUUAGGCCACGAUAGCUGCCUCUUACAACCAAAUGACUAGUUACCAUAGCCUGCAACAAGUUGCACUUCUUUCAACAACACUUUACAGAGGAGAUUGAAGACAAAGAAGAAAGGUAAAAUAGUAUAACAAGCACAAGUAGACAUGUAAACCUGCAGCACAUAAAUAAGACUUCAUUUUGACCCUGACUAACCUUGGGUCCGUUUGGAUACCAUAAAUUGGGGGAAAAUUUUUCAAAUAUUAUUUAGCUUACAUCAUAAACACAACUUUCAACCACCUUUUUAUCUCACAAGGAAGAAAGCUCUGAACUACUUGCAAGCACAGCUGAGUCAAAACCACUGGAAAUCUUGUUUAUGAAGCUCUUUGAAUCAUCUGACUUAUCAGGAAAUUUUUUAUCUGAAGAAAUACUUGGUUCUCGAGCCAAUGACCCUCUGGACGAGAAACUGUCAUCAUUGAAGAAAAUUCACUGUUUGUAUUCUCAUCCAUAUUAGAAGCCAAUUGUGCAUUUAGGUUAGAGUCACUCUCUGUCUCCUCCACUAUCGAGUGAGGAGAGCUUUGCUCAGCCACAACAGGUGCAGGUAGUGGCAGAUUAUCAUCUGCCUGAGGAAAAGGCAACUUCUCAUCAGGUUCAGAUUCCUCAGCAUCAAAAACGAUAUCAAUUCCCUGAAGAUCAUCAUCAAGGUCAGGUUUCAGUUGCCGAGAUUUAUUGGACUUCUCUGCAUCUUUAUUGUUUUCAGGAGCUGUUCUUUUCACUUGUGCAGUUGCAUCAGCAACUGCCAUUCCCACUGGAUGUUGGCGGUCCCUUUGUCUGGCCAUGAAUUCAUCAACAUGAAUAGACGGAGGUCUCCCACUAGAGGAUCCUAUGCGUGGAAUAGCAAUUACAUUUGGAUUAUUGUUACCAUCAGCAUUUCUUUCCCUAGCAACAUAGUCAUCCACAUGCAUAGAAGGAGGUCGGCUGGUAUUGGGCUUGCGCUGCCGAAAUGUAUCCCUUCGAGUCGGACCAGAAGUAGCAGGGGGAACUGAGCCCCGUGAAAAUGAACUUUGAGCAAUAGUUUCAGUCGAGGCAUUAUCAGCUCUGACACGCCUAUUAGGCCCAUCCAGUGAGGAAAUCUUCCGCUUCAUUGAAAGACCUGUCUGCGUCAAUCUAUCACGCAAAUUUUCAGGACAUUCCCAUAAGAAUUUGUCUCCAAAUUCACCUAAAUCAUAGUCCUCAAUCCUUUCAGCACCACUAUCGGCAAUUCUGUAUCCUUGUAGAAACUGAUGCAGCAAUUGAUGACGAGGGAAGGAUACUGGCCUUGAUAUCAUCGACCUUUACUGCAUGAGUAGGCUUUUGCAACAUAAGUAAUAAAGAGCUUGCAGAUUCCAUUACCUGCACAAUAAUGACCCAAUACAAGAAGGAACAGUAGUUCAAAACCCAACAAAGAUAUAUCACUACUCAAGAAUGCAGAAUGAAAAUCUGGAAUUAUGAAAAGAAGCUGAAUAAUCAUCACUUGCCUCUGGCUCCAAUAUAUUUGCAAGUUCAUGAAGUGAUUUCAUGCUUUCGUCAAGAAAACUAUCUGUACCACACCCAUCCUUCUCAAUCCCAAAAAGGAACUUAGUUGCAGUAAUUCUCUCCAAGUUCAGGCUGAAAGUGCCCAAGUAGAUAUUAGUGUAUACCAAGUGACAUAAUGCAGAAAACAUUUAAACAGAAACUAAAUCUGGAAGUAAAAAUUAUUUAUUUAGGCAAAAAUAUAAUACUGCUACCAGCUGCUAUCAGACAACAGUAAAUGAAGGCCCAAAAUUCGGAGUUUUUGGGAUCUAGCAUAGAACACACAAUGUUUAACCUCAUUCUGAUACUUUAAUACAUAAACUUGUCAAUCCUCAGAUUUUGCUACUCGAAGAACUAAUGUCAUCAAGAAUGGAGCAAAUAAAAAAUAUAAAUAAAUUAAAAGGAGGAAAUCCUCUAAAUAGGUACAACUUAUGAUGCAAAAUCUCAGAAAAGAAGGGCUCCAAGACCAAGGAGGUUAGCAUUCGUGUAGCACUUAUGAAACUUUUGUUCAUCCCCAACCACAACAUUAUAAAAUUAAAGCAGUGCCAUACCAAACUUAACAACUCUAAACCUGAUGCAGAACAGUAGUAGGUCAGCUACUCCUCACCUGCUAAAACCCCUGAUAAACUGUUAAAAUUGCGGUAAAGUCAUCAACAUGCAUAAAUUAGAACGAGAUGACAUAUCCCUCAACUACCUAAAUUGCAAAUGAUCUUGGACUGAGGACAAUAUUCAGUACCACCAAUCGAGUUUCAUUUCCUUUCAAGUAUAAAGAAAGACUACUUAGAUGCUGUCUCAAAUUUAACAGCCUAAGAUGAUCUUGCUUUAUCUUUCAUGUCUUCUAGCAUCUAAUGUCCUUAUCUACCAAUUACUUAAUUUAUAUUUUAUUUAUAGAACCACUAAGCUUUCAUGGCAAAAUUCCAACAGUAUCAAAGUAGUUUAUAACUUAAAAAGCCAAAGAAAAAGGAAAGAAAAACAGAAACAAGACCAAUCAGAUGAGUAUGCAAAACAAGCAGGGUCGGCGACAUGGUGAAGAAGUCGAAGAAUUCACAUAUAUACUUUAAAUCUGUGACCAUAUGGUCCAAAUCUAUCCUCAUCGUAAGUAUUUUAAUAUAUAGAAAGUUUAACACAUGAUAGUGUGGUCAAGAGUCUUUGCCCAUUGCUUUAGGAAAAUAUGUACAGAGAAUAAUUUGCCCUUUUUUGCAUCUUCUACUUUUAUUUCUUUAACAAAAUUAACAGCAAUAACCAUAAAUUGAAAUGACAAAUCAAGCUUCAGCAGAAAAACAAAUCAAGAAAAGCAAAAAGGUAUGGAUAUAACAAAGUAAAAAAAAAUAAUUGAAGAAAUAAGAGCAAGACCUUUCUCUCUCCAAGCAGAAGAGUAAAGCACCAGAGGCCAAUAGGCCAAUGGUCUCAACAGCAUAUUCUGGCGAACCAUCAUUUGAAGCAAUUGACAUUAGCAGUGUACUCCAGCAAAUUUGCAAAGGAGGACUCUCCCUCCAUUCACAGGCAUUAACAAUCUUGAGGUCCCUAUCAUCAGCACGACUCCUCUCAACUGCAGAGUCCUCAAAAAUGAAUGGCUGAACUUUCAGAAAAAUGGAUAACAAUGCAGAUCUGCCUUGAGCAGAGGAACCCAAUUCUUUGAAAGCAGAUACACAGGCAAGUAAUUCCUUUCCAACUGGCAAGACCUACAACACAACCCAAAGAUCAUUUCAUGAAGUAAGAUAAAACCACAUACUAAGAUUUGACAAAGUAUCACAGAAUCAGCACCAACUCAAAACCACUGUAUGAGGCUUAGGAUGCUAAGUGUGUUGAAUAUCAUAAUUGAAUGCUUCAUGCAAGUAAAAAGGAACAACUUCAUAUAUAUAUUUGUCAAAACACCUGUAAAGACACAAGAACUACCAGAGCCUUGAAAUCUACUUCAGAGAACAAAAGAUUUUUGCAUUGGAACCAUCUAGAAGAAUCCCCAUAUUCAGGAGCCACCACCCUCUAUGAACGAAAUACGAUAAAAGGUGUAAUAGAAAAAGGGGGGGGGGACAGAAAAAAGGUAGAGUUUAAACCAACCAGAAGCACAAGAGUGGACAAAUAUGGUAAAACAAUUAUUAACAAUGGGAACAUAUGUGUUCAAGUCUAAUGCUUCAGCCAGUUGAAGACAUAGUUACAUACAACAUGCACACACAGAAGCAGGCAGGAAGGAAGCAACACAGGCAUGGUCAAGAUGCAGCAGAAAGUUUGCCCUGUUUGGUUUUUAUGUUAAAAGAGAAGGGAAAAAAGAGGCACGGGAUAAGGUUACAGUGCAUAGUGCAAACUGAAGAAAAAUGGAAGAGCAAGUGCGACUCAAUUUAAAAAAAAAACAAAAUUCACAACCAACAAGCCAAAUACAGGAGAGAAAAAAACAAAUUGAUACGGCACAAUUUGAGUUAUAAUGUUACACAGUUAUAUCCCCAACAAGAUAACCAAAUAUCACGACACAGGAUUUGCUUGUGGGAAGGCAGCACAUUAAGGUCAUUUUGGAAUAUCUGAUUCUAGGAAGGAAAAGAAAAGUAAACCCCAAAAAACCUGUUUUGUUGAUUAGGUUUCAAAUGAAAACAAGAAGGAAAGAUCAUAGUAAGCCAAAGUAAGAAUGAACAUAUGAAUUUCAAACAUAAUUUAGAAAGAUUGACAAAGGUAAUGGAAUACUCUAGUUCACUCACUUUUUCUUUUGGCAAUUUCUUUCAAUCAUAGAAACUAAUAUCCAGAUAUGCACAAUUGAUUUUAAUUAUAGAUAAGUUGGAAAAUAGAUCAUCAGUAGAAGAAGCAUUAUGUGUAAAGGACAGGAACAGAGUUAAUUAAGAUCAGAUGCAUUCUGAGUACGAGAGACAAAAUGCAGUUCUGCUGUUAUCGUGAUGCAAAAGUUUAGUUCAAUACACUAGAAAUAGUCAAAUCCAUAAUUGAAGAGUGAGAACGCACAACAGAAACCCAAGUUGUUGUUUAAGGUUUUUUUUCACUUUUCUAAGUAGAGCAAAUUCCUGUGAACUCUUUCAUUUCAUACAAGUGACUUCUUUACAUGAGAAAUUGAAAGCAGACUCCCCAGCUGAGUGCCUCCAUGGAACCAAGAAGCGAAACAAAUAUUUUUCAGAAGGAUCAAGCUUCUUGAACUAGAUUUUGCUUUUAGACAGCUUCAUUUAUCUUCGACAUUUUUUUUUCAAGUCUCACUUGACUGAAGAGUUGCCUGGACUGCUGAAUACCUUUACAAAGUUCAAGAUUGUCUCUUUUAUUGUCUUAUUACACGCAAGGAAGGAUUAAUUGACACAAAAAACAAAUCAGCCAACUAGAAGUUCCAACAAUAUUACUGCACAGGUCAAGCUCUAGUUCUGAGAAUGUAGCAGUGCAUAUUUACUUACACAUGAACCAAAUAAAGCAGCGUACCUUACACAAAUUAAGGAUAUAUGACAAAAUCAGCAAACAUUCCCCUGCAGUUACAUCUUUAGGAAUGUGCCUAGAAAACCACAAAAAACAGUCCACUGUAAUCUGCACUUAACCAAUUCACGCAGAGGGGAAGGGGAAAAAAAGAAAUCAACUAACACUCAACAUCAGAUUACCUGUCUAGCAUUACAGGGCGCGGCAAAGAUGUCCGACAAUCACACAGCAGUGAGAUGGACUUAAAUACAGGGAUACACCAAGCAAGCCAUGAAAAUUCAUUUCUAGCUACAUGUCUGACUUCUGGAAACUGCUUGGCAUCUGAGGUAGCAGCUACAUUACACCUCUCAAGCACUUUGACGAACAUCUGAAUGCCACCCUCCCUCAGCAACAAUGGCUAACAAAGGAAAACUAGUGUAAGCUACAUUUAAUAUAUAAGCACUUUUGAUCACAAAACUAUGCAACAAGUCAAAAAGUCCUUCUGAUAUAACCUUUGCACGUGGAUGUUCCAAUAAAAGAGCAAGAAAAUCAAGCAAUCUGUAAACCUGGAAGGGAAAAAAACAUAACAAAAAUAUGAUAAAUAAAGGGCCAUGAGAUUCACACUUGUCAAACUACAAAACAAGUGCAUAAAAUCUUUUUUAAGGAAAAACAAAAUCAGAAACAUUAAUGACCUUGUAUGAAUCAGUGUCUGCAACUGCCAAUGGUCCAGAAAGUUGAUUAGAUAUCCAAGAUAUCAUAGGCCGCAAAAGAACUGAAGCAUUAUCAGUGCCAUGGCAGGCAAUACGAAUAAUGAAGACCCGAAUCAUGUCUUGAAUUACAACCAAUGUCUGUUUAAUAAGAACCAAGAGUUAGAAUCAAAGCGACUCAAACUUUUUCUCCUUCUAAUACCCCUUUGUAAAGGAGCCACAGAGAGUAUACAUUCACGACAUUAGCCCACAAUUAACAAGGAAUGCAGACUCCACUAUGCACUAAAAUCUGCCGGGGUAACAAGUUCAAAAAUAAGCACAUGUUAAACUGGGGGCAAAAUCACAUACACUGAUUGCACAAUGCAGGAUAACCUGCGCAACUUUGUCAAGCUGUGGCGUCAACUGACUUAGCAGCUUUUCAGAUACUCCAGCCUGUAAGUACCAAUCGAUCUGUCUCUCCUUCUCACGUCCUAACAAUGUUCCCACAGCAAAUGCUCUGAGGAGACUUGACAUUGGGAUCCCAUUCUUCCACAGCCAGACACCUUCCUCGGGAAAUAGAUCAUUCUGAAAUACAGAAUAUGCAGAAAAAAAAUGAAUUUUUUUUCAUACAUAAGCAUUACAGAAAAAAGAAUUAAAGAGAAUGCAUUUGGUAACAUUCCACUCCAGAAGAAUAUAAAAUUAGAAAGUUACUAACCAAUAAGCAAAACAAACUACAAACUUCCUUGGGACCAAGCGCCAGUGAUGAAGUUGAAUGAAGAUUGUCAAGUAGGAAGAGGAAUAAGCCAGGAGUCCAACCAUACACAGGCCAACAGGCUAGAGCUGACACAAUAAGAUGGCAAACAGCUUCCAACCAAGGGCUUCCGGAUAAGGAGAGGACAGGUCGAAUGCACACGCAGCCAAUCUCGGACUGCAAAUGAAGGAAUCAAUAGAUUUUAUUCAGAAAAGCACAAUGACAAGUAAUCGGAGAAAGAUGACAUGAACCAGGCUACCUCACUUCUCGAUGCAACUGUAGAAGUGCAUUAAUUAGUUUUGUAUUCCUGUGCUGCUCCUUUGCUUCCUGUACAUGCGGCAAAAGAAAUACCUUACUGGGAAAAACAUGAUAUCAAGCAAAAUCAAAGGAAACAUAAGAAUUUAUUGCUUAAAUAAUCCAGAAUUUAUUCAUCAAAAUUCACGUUCACAUUAUAGCCUCAAUUACCAGAAAAUCCAAAUCAUACCAUGCACUUGUGAAAUCCAACUCAACAGAGAACCUGGGUGAAACUAUCUUUACACGCACCUGCAAUUUCUGCAGCAAAUUAAUCAGCAGUACCAAAGAAGGUAUCAAAAGAUCAACAAUGCUUUGUUCACGGUUGCGUUCCAGCAAUAAAUCUGAAGUUGAAUUGCAUUCAGUACCUUCAUCUACAAGGUAAUCUGUGGCAGACAUUCAAACAAUUCAACAAAAUUAAAGCAUUUGGAAGAACAAAGAUGACUUGCUACAACACAAAAGAAACUCAUCAAAUAUAAAUAAAGGAAUAUGCAAAUUAAUCACUAACACACCAACUCCAAUACAAUGGAAAUAAAACCCUCACAAAAAGAUAACUUGAAUCCAAAUCGAAAAGAAAGAUUCGCUAAGGUUCUCCCUCAAGGAUCUCAAAGGAUUCUGUUCUCAAAAUUUUCCUCUUUCCACAAACGUGUGGCGACGUAAAACCAUUUUUUGACCACACUAUAAGACUAGCCAGAUGGAGGAGGAAGAGGUUCUUGCUAUUUACAAGUGGCCUAGUAUGAGCAGAAUUCUUGGAGAAGCCAGCAUCAUCUGUUGGUGAUUCACAUGUGAACUAGAAUAGAUUAUCUAUUGGUGAUUCACCAUAUCUCGUGGCAAUUAAACUAGCGAAAACAUCAAUCCUAACGCAGGUAAAAAAUGACCAAUCCCAAAAAUUGGAGCUCCUUUGUCACUUCACAUGAAAGGCUGAACGGGCUUCAGCAUGUGCUAUCCUUAAAGGAUUUUUCUAGCUUGGUAUUGGUUGCCUUUUUUCUUAAUGGUUUUCUCUUUGAGGAUUGCUUGGGUAUAGCUGGGCAGACUAAUGGUUUCUUCAAAUAGAACAAUUUUGUCUGGUAUACUCAAAUGAUUCCACUUUUUCUGUAGAAAUCAUGUACAAAAAGGGAUGCACUCCCUUUUGGCAUUCUAGAGAUUGUCAAUUUUAUUGGGAAAAAAAAUACAAUAUAACACCUAGAAAGACAGCAGUGACAAAAUGUACAUGACCUCAAAGAUUUGUAAGAGUCAGAAAACAGCUAAAGUAAAUGCAUGAAGAACUUAGAGGACAAUAUCUUGAUCAACUCAAAGAGAGUAUAAUAAAACCAGAAGCACUUUAAAACAGACAGAAAUGAGAAAAAUAAGCAGCACAGAAUUGACUCAAUAUAGCAAUGCAGGAAACUCAAACCACCCACAAACUCAUUUAAACCAAACAAACCAUAAAUAUUGCAUGAAAUCUUGGGAAAUAGAAAAAAGCUGAGCAAGGAAUUCAAAACAAUCAAAUAACUCAUGCUCAGGGACAGCUAACAUAAAUUUCACCAUCAAUUCAAGUGUCCACUUUGAUUUCUUAGAGGUACAGAGAAAGGUGGCAUUGCCUCUAGCAGUUCUGAUGCAGCUUGUUGGAGAAUACAGUCAUAUAAACAACAGUACAACACACAGCAAGUGAAGAUUAUAACUUCUUAUAACAGGAGCUCAGAAUAAAUCAAGUUUUAAGACUCUUUACAACAUGUCUAUUCAAAAUCAGCUCAGGAAGAAUUCAACUAGCUUGCAGUGAUUUCCUUUUCCCACCCAACAGGAGCAUACUUCUCCAGAUUGGUUUUAUCAUAUAGGUUUACAAAGCUUAAAAAUAAGAUUACAAGAAAAUUCUAGUGGCUUCAUAAGAGUUUAUAUGGAAUGUAUGUUACACAAACAAAGGAAGCAAUUAAAGAGAACUAGUAGUGUAAAUAAGUAAUCACCAAAUCCUCCAGGUAUAUAGCAAAUUCAAAAUUGAAACUGAAGAACAAGACUUCGUGCUCACCAUAAAUGUUGGAGGACCUCUCCAGCAAGACUUUACAGUUAAUUAAAACAGCAUGGAUAACCAUUACAGCGCCUUCAUCAUAAAGUACAGCAGAAAUAGCCUUCACCAAUCACACAAUAGUUAAGACCCUACAAACUUCUACAAAUAUCACUGCAGAAAAGAACAAAUAGAUAACAAAUAAACUCUGUUACCGAAUUAUCUGAAAUGAAUGCCAGAAUCCGGAAUGCUGUAGUCAGCUGAACGAUAGAAGAGUCACGAAGUACGACACCAGGAAAGUCCUUAUCAGUUAUGCGUUUUCCCAGAAGGUUAUCAAUGACGUUACCAUCAGAACUACAAGGAGCUUCUCCGACAACAUUUUCCACAUCCAUCAUAUCAGAUCCAAAAAUGCUUGUUGACGCCAUAUGUGCAUCUCCUCCAGAAGCUAAAGCAGCAUAACGCAGAAGCCCAAUAAAUCCAUUUCUGUGGUAUACUACACCAGCAUCAAUCCAUUCCAGAAGCCUUGCAGGAGCAUCUUUUCUAUUGGACCCAGGAGAAGAGGAGUGUAACACCCGAUGAAGUUCAUUAGCCUGGUCAAUCCAAGAACCCAAGGAAGAUGAAGUUGAAUCAGUAACAAUGACUUCAAAAAUCUCUGCUGCAGCAUGGAAGAUUGCGACAUUUAAUGGUGAAGAUCCUGCAAACAAGAAUGCCAGCCAUCUCUUAUAAUACUUCUAUAGAGAUCAAUCAUAAAACUUCCAACCAUAGAAAAGUCAAAUACCAGAAUUCAUGGAAACUGGAUCCAACUCCUUUACAGAAUGUAAUGCAGCCGUCAAAACUGAUAGAGCCUAAAGAACAACAACAAUUUCCAUUAGACCUAAAGAAUAAUUCAGCAGCACACGACAUAGAAUAUUGGAAUGCAUGAGAGAUUCAGGAGUAAAGAUGUGCAAUUCUGACAAAUGAACGCUCAUUCACCUGAAAAGAAAAUGCGAAGUAGUUUGAAGAUUUAUUCUCAUCAUCAACAACAAAAUUUAUGGUUGACUUACUCUCAUUAUCCAACUAAAAGCAUCACUUAAGGGAAAAAUCAUGCAGGAUGAGUGACUCAAUGGAAGUUAUGGGAAUAAUUUGAAAACCUAAAAAUGUAAGGUGGGGUUUGCUUAAAUUGUGAUAGCAUGUACCUCUGGAAAAUGUAUCAAAGCCAACAAAGCCUGGCGUCCACAAUCAGACCUGCAUAUCAGCAUAAGUAUUAAAAAUGUACCCGAGUUGUGAAUUAUCAGCAGAAAAGCAGCUAAAACCCAACAUACUUACCGAGAAAGACCGCAUAGCUCCCACAAUAUCCACAGAAAUUCUUCAGUGUUUGGGGUAGAUGUGAUUAAAUGAUCUAUAGCAACAAUCUACAAUAAAGGCAUUUUGGUCAGCUGAAUGCAGCAUCUAAAGAUCAACAGUUGUCCAAGAAAAGAAAACAAAAAGCGUACAUAAAUUUUGGGGGUUGUUUGUUUUGGUGUUUGGGGGGGGGGGAGGAGGGAGGGAAUCUGGCUCCAUAAUUUCAAGAAUGCUACAGGAAGAAGGAAAAGUCAUUGAAGAGAGCCAACAACAUAGUUAUCUCAACUAAAUGGAACUUACAGCCUUCAAAUGUGUCUCAACGAUAAUUCCAACUUCCUGUGGAUGACAAAAGAAUCCCCUAGAUAUCAAGGCGGAUGCAUAGCGUAAAGAAGCCGAUUCUUCCUUAUUCCAAUCAUCUGUACCCCUUAGGCCACGAAUUACUGUAGUUAACACUUCAGGAUCACAUAGAAGAAAAGUCAACCCUGAAAGUGAGAGAUGAAAUGCAUAUAAAUCCAAAAGCGCUGAAAGAAUUGAUGAAUACAUCUACGGAUAAAUUGCUUCAGUCACCGUACCUGAGCGGCUGAAGAGGAGUGAAAGAAUAAUUGCCUCAAUGUAUGACACAAUAUCCAUAAACAAGUCCACUACACGCCCUGUCUCUGUACGUAAUAUAGAACACGAAAGAAAAGCUGCAGACAAAGGGAGAAAACCUCUCUCCUGGUAACCAAGACAGCAUAAGCACAGUAGAACAGGAACGAAAAUUACAUAAAUUACAAAAGAGAAAUAAAAAGGAAAGACAGAAAACACAGAAGCCAAAAAGAAAAGCACUUAUACAUGCCCUGCACAGUUUCUUGCCAGUAAAGAAUAUCAACAGCAGAAAUCUAUAGUCAGUCUGAAGAAACAUGGGGGGAGAAGGGAAAACAUGACUAUUUACCUGUAAACAUUGAUAGAAAUUACAACUGAUUGUAAGACAGGUCUUAAAAGGACUCGAGAAUCUAUCUUUAAUAGCACUUUUAUUAACAAAAGUUAAUGCAGAAUAUUACAAAAAAUAUUUAAGCGGUCUCACAAAAGGUCGACUUGUUGGAAGAAAAUAAUGCUUUUAAAAGCACAGAAUAAGAGUCAUGUUCAUUCUACUAAACACGAUAUCCCCCUUGAACCCAUUCUUAUUUGUGGAACAAGAACGAAGACGCAAAAUACUAUACUAAAUGAUCUGAUGAUCAGCAUUAAGUCCUAAAGAAACAGCAAGAUUGACUCAUAUACAACACAUACAAGAGGGACCGGAGUCCGUUCUCUUUCCAAUAUACGCACUCAGUUGUAUAGUGAGAUUGCACUAGUUAGGUUACAAGCAAAAGGAGCAGAGAAUUGGUGCUCCUGCUCAUGCAUCACCUUGGCAUGGUAUGCAUUAUAUCAAGUGCAAUGUAUAUAAAAUGGGUGUGAUUCACUCAGUAAUGCUUAGAUAAAUCUUGAUAGAACACAUUUGAACUGGAAAGAAACAAGAAAUGAGAUGUGGAAAACAGAUUGGUAACCCUACUUUGUUAAAGGUGAUAAAUUUGGUACAUGAAAGAGGCAGCUAGAAGUCUUUGCCAUAGCAUUCAGACACAAAGCAUGAUACACAAGGGAAAAAGAAACUAGACCCCCAGAAUAGGCUCAACCUCCUCUUAAAUCAGCUUUGUUCGAAUUUUGUCCAUUUGUAAAAAAAUAAUAAUAAAAUGGCUUGUCAAUUUGCAGUCCAUUAAACUGCAGGAUCUAUUUGAUCAACAGACCAGGUGAAACGAACAAGUAAAUUUUGCCUAUUUCUACAGCAGUCAAGACUGUACUUCCACGUCAAAAGAUUUAUAGAAAUUAUUACUGCAGUUAUUAGGAAUGAAAAGGUCAGGUUUCUAACUUCCAAUUUGACAAAAUCAUAUCUUCAAUCCCCAUUUCAGGCUUUCUACACUUAACAAUUUAUCAAAACCUACUAUUUAUUUCAAUUGCAAAAGUAGGCUGUUUGACACGGCUCAUAAACUCAGAUAAAGCAAGCUCACUCCUGAUUAGCUAUAUAUGUCCAAGCCCGAUGUAUUCAUGUUCAAAGCCAACAUUGAGCACACCAAUAAUCAGUUUGGAUUGGUUCAUUUUCAAUCCCUACUAUAGCAAAUGUUUUCAAACACCAUUAAUAUACACAAAAAUAGUCAUAUCUACUCAGCCAGAACAACCAUUCAGGUUUUAUAACCUUAGUUCCAACUCAACCCCUGAACUUUGUCAAGAUAUUGACCAAUUAGCCAUACAAGUGGAAGGACCCCUUACCCCAACCAAGAACAAUAAACAAUAUAAUGAUUCUCACUUCAUAAAUGAGGUCUUCGAGUCAUUUGAAAUGGUAAACACCAGUAGGCAAAAUUUAAAUUGAGGAAAAAACUGUCCCUAAAAUCUUCCCAAACCCUCCUUCCCCUUCACCUCCUCAAACAGCCAAAUGGGACAAAUUAAAGGAGACAACAGACAGCUUGCAAACAAAAACAGCAACAUUUACUGAAAAAUCAUCAAUCAAAUUAAAUUGGUUGUAUACAAAAAGAAUCUCAUCAAACUCAGAAAAAGAUUUGUAUUUCCAGCAGACACGCAAACCGGAACAGUAAACUUGCAAACAAAUUGUCAAAAGGGGGAAAAAUAAACAGAAAGUAUGGUAAAAUCAACUAAACAAGUACCUUAAGCAGCAGAAGCAAAUGUGGAUCAGUGUCCCACUUUGAAAAACAACAAUUUGACUGGUUAAUAAAGGUGCUAGUUGCUUUAUAUGACAAUGAUCCAACAUCACAUGGAAUCAAAGUGCUGCUUGCACGAGCCACCAGAGAAGGAUCUUCAAUUGGGCCAUGGAAGUUUAUUAAUUUCUGCAGCAGUACUUGUCAAAUAUAUGAACAAUGAAUUCUUCAUUACACAAAGAUAGUUGAUAAUUAUUUUACAAAACUUCUUAUAAUUAGUCUGGCUGAUCACAAACUAGUAAUCUCAUUAAAAUAUAUAAUAAAUAAACAGCUUGAAAGACUUACAGUGAGCUUCUUGAGUUGGAAUUUAGCUCCAGUAAGCAUGUCCAAAGUGACACUUGUAAUAUGACCUGCCGUGGAAAGACCUCCAAGAACAGAUAAUACUGCACACUACCAAAAUGAAACUGAAACUGAGUUCUUCACAUUUAUUAGCCAAAUAGAUAUAAAAAAAAUUAACAUCAACCAUGUGUCUCCUCCCAAAAGAGAGGACAGAAGAAAGAAAUUUCAUUGCACAAAACAAAGUGAAGUGUCUACCUCAUAUCUAGAUGCAACUUCAUAAAAACGCAAACGAUUAAGUAUGUAAGUAGCAAGAGAAGCAACAUCAUGGCGCUGGUUCUGCAACAAAAACUUCAGUAACUGAUUGUAGCCUUCACUGGUGCCAGGAGGGACACUUUCGUCUUCCCGAGGCCACCAGCCAAGGAAUCCUUCACAGCCAAUUGAGUGCCGAGUAGCUUGCUCAACAAC